Molecule: long non-coding RNA, 213 nt
Filed under: Gossypium barbadense (sea-island cotton)
Lineage: Eukaryota; Viridiplantae; Streptophyta; Magnoliopsida; Malvales; Malvaceae
Description: long non-coding RNA (GBAR_LNC003423)
Source: RNAcentral
CUCAGCCGUGUGUGAUACACGGUCAUGUACACGGCCGUGUGUCCCCUGGUGUUGAAAUUAAAAUCAAGUCAGUAUGCUCCAUACGGCUUUACACAUGGGCGUCUGACUUGGCCGUGAGGCAUAAGUCAGUAUACCCUACAGGUUUGGCACGGACUAGCACAUAGCCUAGCACAUGGACAUGUAUGGCCAUUUUUAGGGCACACGGGCGUGUGU